RNAcentral lists this long non-coding RNA (224 nucleotides) under Lathyrus oleraceus (garden pea). RNAcentral describes it as "Pisum sativum (pea) long non-coding RNA (PSAT_LNC033953)". Lineage: Eukaryota; Viridiplantae; Streptophyta; Magnoliopsida; Fabales; Fabaceae. The record is from RNAcentral.
AAACAUAAUUUAAUUUAAAUGCAUUUUAAUUUGAUUUUUUAAUUGAUUAAUUGUGUAGAAUUUGUGUUGAGCCAUUUUUAUUGACUUGUGAAGUUUGACUAUGUGUUUGGGCCUUGGUCAAGGUUGAUUUGAUUUUUGUUGGAUUAAAAUCAUUGGAUUUUGGGGAUUGAUGAAAUUUACAUUUCAUCUUCCAAAAUGAAUGAAUGAUUUUAAUUUGAUAAAAU